GGGAGGCAGCAGUAGGGAAUCUUCCGCAAUGGACGAAAGUCUGACGGAGCAACGCCGCGUGAGUGAUGAAGGUUUUCGGAUCGUAAAGCUCUGUUGUUAGGGAAGAACAAGUACCGUUCGAAUAGGGCGGUACCUUGACGGUACCUAACCAGAAAGCCACGGCUAACUACGUGCCAGCAGCCGCGGUAAUACGUAGGUGGCAAGCGUUGUCCGGAAUUAUUGGGCGUAAAGGGCUCGCAGGCGGUUUCUUAAGUCUGAUGUGAAAGCCCCCGGCUCAACCGGGGAGGGUCAUUGGAAACUGGGGAACUUGAGUGCAGAAGAGGAGAGUGGAAUUCCACGUGUAGCGGUGAAAUGCGUAGAGAUGUGGAGGAACACCAGUGGCGAAGGCGACUCUCUGGUCUGUAACUGACGCUGAGGAGCGAAAGCGUGGGGAGCGAACAGGAUUAGAUACCCUGGUAGUCCACGCCGUAAACGAUGAGUGCUAAGUGUUAGGGGGUUUCCGCCCCUUAGUGCUGCAGCUAACGCAUUAAGCACUCCGCCUGGGGAGUACGGUCGCAAGACUGAAACUCAAAGGAAUUGACGGGGGCCCGCACAAGCGGUGGAGCAUGUGGUUUAAUUCGAAGCAACGCGAAGAACCUUACCAGGUCUUGACAUCCUCUGACAAUCCUAGAGAUAGGACGUCCCCUUCGGGGGCAGAGUGACAGGUGGUGCAUGGUUGUCGUCAGCUCGUGUCGUGAGAUGUUGGGUUAAGUCCCGCAACGAGCGCAACCCUUGAUCUUAGUUGCCAGCAUUCAGUUGGGCACUCUAAGGUGACUGCCGGUGACAAACCGGAGGAAGGUGGGGAUGACGUCAAAUCAUCAUGCCCCUUAUGACCUGGGCUACACACGUGCUACAAUGGACAGAACAAAGGGCAGCGAAACCGCGAGGUUAAGCCAAUCCCACAAAUCUGUUCUCAGUUCGGAUCGCAGUCUGCAACUCGACUGCGUGAAGCUGGAAUCGCUAGUAAUCGCGGAUCAGCAUGCCCGGUGGAAU
This 1032-nucleotide ribosomal RNA is filed under the name Bacillus sp. (in: firmicutes). RNAcentral's name for it is "bacterial SSU rRNA". It matches the Rfam family "Bacterial small subunit ribosomal RNA", at positions 343 to 1368 of the family's 1533-position model. Lineage: Bacteria; Bacillati; Bacillota; Bacilli; Caryophanales; Bacillaceae. The record is from RNAcentral.